RNAcentral lists this ribosomal RNA (513 nucleotides) under Didymium squamulosum. Its description in RNAcentral is "partial small subunit ribosomal RNA". It matches the Rfam family "Bacterial small subunit ribosomal RNA", at positions 536 to 955 of the family's 1533-position model. The record is from RNAcentral. Lineage: Eukaryota; Evosea; Eumycetozoa; Physariida; Didymiaceae.
UAGUGUUAUUCGUGAUGACUGGGCGUAGGGUACGUAGGCGGAUAGUCAAAAAUAUAGUAAAAGACUGAGGAUGACCCUCUUUACGCUAUACUCACUAACUAUCUUGAGUUUUGAAGGCGAUAGUGAAUCCUUUAAGUAAGGGUUAAAUUGUUGAUAUUAGGAGACAUUCGAAGGCGAAAGCAAUGAUCGAUUUAAAUCUGACGCUAGGUACUAAAGCAUGGGUAUGAAAAGGAUUAGAGACCUUGUAGUCCAUGCCGUAAACUAUGAGUGUUCAACGUCCUUUUGUGGUUUGUUUUUGCUGGUUAAAUUCGUUACCUGUUUAGACAAGAUAUGGUUUCAUAUUUUGUAACAAGGGUAAGUUAAGAAGUUAACAAAAGGAACAGUGAAGCAUAUUCAUGAAAGGGGGUUUGAAGCUAACGCGUGAAACACCGCCUGGGGAAUGUGGCCGCAAGGUUAAACUCAAAGGAAUUGACGGAGACUUAUACAAGGGGUGGAGAUGUGGUUUAAUUCGAG